CUUUCGGCGGAGACGAAGUCAUAGCACGUAACAGGGCAGUAAAAUCAGCAGUGUAAUAUUAGCAGUGUAAAAAGUUAUUAAUUCCCAAAGAUUUCAAUUAACAAUCCACAGUGUUAAACAGUACUCGUGUUCAGUGUUGUUAUAUGGUGUAAUUUCACUUUUACACUAAAAGUGCGAAAUAAAAGACCCGCCGAAUUGUCUGGACUCCGCCCUUCAGUGACUGCUGCCUCGCGAAGCGACAACGCCAUCUUUUCUUCGAACGACCGAGACGUUGGUGGACACGUCCUCUCGCCUCUGUUCCCUCCUCGGCCUGGGGUUACUGCGAAUCUGGCGCUGAAGACUGAAGCUGCUAACGUUAUAUUCGAAUGGGACAGUUAUAUUGCUUCAAUUGGUCUCCUACUUCAUUUGAUUCCACCAUCAUUACAAGGCUGCAAGGGAUCUGGAAAAAUGUCAUCCUGUCAAGCUGAAAAACCAUCUUCAAAAAGGCACUAACAAGAACAGCUUGAUUGUAGAGAAGAGUCCACACAGCCAUACACGCUCACUGAUGGGACGAUGAGGAACAUCAUUCAUGGAUGCCACACAACUCAAAUCUACACGUCAUAUUUGUUCAUGUCUAGGUAAAUUUGAUGAUUUUGUGUUUUAUUAACUACUUUGUUUCUGUGCAACACUUAAUGAAUGUGACUGACUAAUUAACCUCUACACAUCUGGUAUAUGCUUUAAAGUUGCCACUUUGC
Long non-coding RNA from Cyprinus carpio carpio, 734 nucleotides. NCBI's taxonomy places the organism in Eukaryota, Metazoa, Chordata, Actinopteri, Cypriniformes, Cyprinidae. The record is from Ensembl.